RNAcentral lists this ribosomal RNA (661 nucleotides) under Aplanochytrium sp. PBS07. Its description in RNAcentral is "partial Bacterial large subunit ribosomal RNA". It matches the Rfam family "Bacterial large subunit ribosomal RNA", at positions 595 to 1257 of the family's 2925-position model. Lineage: Eukaryota; Bigyra; Thraustochytrida; Thraustochytriidae. The record is from RNAcentral.
GACUGCGUACCUUUUGUAUAAUGGGUCAGCGACUUAUUUUCAGUGGCGAGCUUAACCGAAUAGGGGAGGCGUAGCGAAAGCGAGUCUUAAUAGGGCGUCUAGUCGCUGGGAAUAGACCCGAAACCGGGCGAUCUAUCCAUGGGCAGGUUGAAGGUUGGGUAACACUAACUGGAGGACCGAACCGACUACCUUUGAAAAGUUAGCGGAUGACCUGUGGAUCGGAGUGAAAGGCUAAUCAAGCUCGGAGAUAGCUGGUUCUCCUCGAAAGCUAUUGAGGUAGCGCCUCGCGUCUAACUCAGGGGGGUAGAGCACUGUUACGGCUAGGGGGGACAUAAGUCCUUACCAAACCGUUGCAAACUCCGAAUACCCUGAAGUUCAAUCGCGGGAGACACACGGUGGGAGCUAAAUUUCAUCGUGAAGAGGGAAACAACCCAGACCGCCAGCUAAGGUCCCUAAAACCGGCUAAGUGGGAAACGAAGUGGGAAGGCUAAAACAGUCAGGAUGUUGGCUUAGAAGCAGCCAUCAUUUAAAGAAAGCGUAAUAGCUCACUGGUCGAGUCGGCCUGCGCGGAAGAUGUAACGGGGCUCAAACCAUACACCGAAGCUACGGGUAUCACCUUCGGGUGAUGCGGUAGAGGAGCGUUCUGUAAGUCUGUGAAGGU